RNAcentral lists this long non-coding RNA (381 nucleotides) under Vigna radiata. Its description in RNAcentral is "long non-coding RNA (VRAD_LNC012235)". Lineage: Eukaryota; Viridiplantae; Streptophyta; Magnoliopsida; Fabales; Fabaceae. The record is from RNAcentral.
GGCUUAGGAAAAAAAUGGCGGUCUGGGUUUCUCUACAGAUGGGUUCUCGCAAGCUGUUGGGCCGUCAUGGUGAUGGUUUGAGAAGGAGAGGUAGUGGCGUUGAUGGAGAUCCACGGUGGAGGAAGGGGAAGAUGGUCCUAGUGGUGUUUCUGGGUGGUUGCUGGACGGAGAAGAUGAACAGUUGGUGUCCAUGUCAUUCACUGAUUGCACCGUUAGACAUUUGGUCAUUAACGAUUUAAACGACAUUUGCAAAAAGGACUAAAUUAAAAACAAAUUACAAUCUUUAGGAUUACAUUGAACAUUUUAAAAAAAUUAGGACCAUUUCGAACAAAGAUGACCAAAAUUGGGACCAAUAAUGGUAUUAAGCCUGAAUAUAAUUAC